Molecule: ribosomal RNA, 445 nt
Filed under: uncultured bacterium
Lineage: Bacteria
Description: partial 16S ribosomal RNA
Rfam family: Bacterial small subunit ribosomal RNA
Source: RNAcentral
GUGAGGAAUAUUGCGCAAUGGAGGCAACUCUGACGCAGCCAUGCCGCGUGCAGGAAGAAGGCGCUACGCGUUGUAAACUGCUUUUAACCGGGAAGAAACCCCAGGACGUGUCCUGGGUUGACGGUACCGGAGGAAUAAGCACCGGCUAACUUCGUGCCAGCAGCCGCGGUAAUACGAAGGGUGCAAGCGUUAUCCGGAUUCAUUGGGUUUAAAGGGUGCGUAGGCGGAGCGUUAAGUCAGUGGUGAAAUCCUGCAGCUUAACUGUAGACUUGCCAUUGAUACUGGCGCUCUUGAGUGCGCUUGAAGUGGGCGGAAUGUGUCGUGUAGCGGUGAAAUGCUUAGAUAUGGCACAGAACACCAAUUGCGAAGGCAGCUCACUAAGGCGAUACUGACGCUGAGGCACGAAAGCGUGGGGAUCGAACAGGAUUAGAUACCCUAGUAGUCC